Molecule: ribosomal RNA, 505 nt
Filed under: uncultured bacterium
Lineage: Bacteria
Description: partial 16S ribosomal RNA
Rfam family: Bacterial small subunit ribosomal RNA
Source: RNAcentral
GAUGAACGCUAGCUACAGGCUUAACACAUGCAAGUCGAGGGGUAACGAGAGGAAAGCUUGCUUUCCUUGUCGACGACCGGCGCACGGGUGAGUAACGCGUAUCCAACCUGCCCCCAACUAGGGAAUAACCUUGCGAAAGUAAGACUAAUACCCUAUAAUUUCCUCAGAUGACAUCUGACGAGGAAUAAAGAUUUAUCGGUUGUGGAUGGGGAUGCGUCUGAUUAGCUUGUUGGCGGGGUAACGGCCCACCAUGGCAACGAUCAGUAGGGGUUCUGAGAGGAAGGUCCCCCAAAUUGGAACUGAGACACGGUCCAAACUCCUACGGGAGGCAGCAGUGAGGAAUAUUGGUCAAUGGGCGGAAGCCUGAACCAGCCAAGUAGCGUGCAGGAUGACGGCCCUAUGGGUUGUAAACUGCUUUUAUACAGGAAUAAAGUUAGCCACGUGUGGUUAUUUGUAGGUACUGUAUGAAUAAGGACCGGCUAAUUCCGUGCCGGCAGCAGCCGCC